GGGGAGUCUGGUUGCAAAGCUGAAACUUAAAGGAAUUGACGGAAAGGCACCACCAGGAGUGGAGCCUGCGGCUUAAUUUGACUCAACAAGGGAAACCUCACCCGGGCGGGACAGGGACAGGAUUGACAGAUUGAUAGCUCUUUCUCGAUUCCGUGGGUGGUGGUGCAUGGCCGUUCUUAGUUGGUGGAGCGAUUUGUCUGGUUAAUUCCG
Molecule: ribosomal RNA, 210 nt
Filed under: Solihabitans fulvus
Lineage: Bacteria; Bacillati; Actinomycetota; Actinomycetes; Pseudonocardiales; Pseudonocardiaceae
Description: Goodfellowiella sp. AN110305 partial 16S ribosomal RNA
Rfam family: Eukaryotic small subunit ribosomal RNA
Source: RNAcentral